Long non-coding RNA from Dermochelys coriacea (leatherback sea turtle), 804 nucleotides. RefSeq lists it as uncharacterized. The transcript has 3 exons. The record is from RefSeq and is a predicted model, not a curated record. Lineage: Eukaryota; Metazoa; Chordata; Testudines; Dermochelyidae.
GGGUAAAUUCAAGAGGCUCAAGAGGAAUUGCAAGAGUGGGGAAAAUGUGGAGACAAUUUUUUGAGGGAGAACCAUCCUCUGCAUUGUGUUGCCCCUGGCUGCCUUCCAUCUUGGAAGCACAAAGAAAUUAUAAAAAAGCUUUAACAUUGCAAACAGAUAUAUUAAAAAGCAACCUGAAAAGUUUUUGCUACCUGCUAAUAAAGACUCCAGUCCUGCAAGAUCACGUGACACCUGAAGUGGUUCAAGAGGCUGAAUUCUGCACCCUGAUUUAAGUGUCUCAUCAACUCUUGCAGGGAAGCAUGGAAACCUGAAUUUGAGUCCUGCAGUUGUACAGAUUUAGACACUGGCAGUAAACCAGCUGCUACUCUAUAGAAGGCCACAGCCUGGGGAAAAGUUCAGGCUGAAGAAACCCAACAUAGAAAAAGACCAACGCAGCAAAGCAAAGAUUAAUUGAUUUUAUUGCUAUCACAAUCAAGCUUGAGAGUGCUGAGAAAAACAACAGCACAAAGCAGAAAAGAGUCAUUAUUAAAGCUGCAAAACAAAGGUGGGUCCCAGUUUUAAAAUGUGGAUAUCCUUGUCUCUCUUUUGGACAGGAAAUCCAAAUGCAAAUACAUGUGAUAUACCUAAGUAUCAGUUAGAACAUCCAAAUAUAGGGUUUACUAAAGUAUCCCAUAUUUGAAAAUUGGGCCUGCAUUCAAAUACAAGAUGGAUCCAAAGAUGGCUCCAUUUAUAUGCCUACAGUACAAAGCAGCCUAUUCUGAACUCAGUCUGUUGGAAUACUUCCAAUUGUAUACUAUGAGCUUU